GGUCCGAUGGUGUAGUUGGUUAUCACGUCAGUCUAACACACUGAAGGUCUCCAGUUCGAGCCUGGAUCGGAUCA
RNAcentral lists this transfer RNA (74 nucleotides) under Parathielavia hyrcaniae. RNAcentral describes it as "tRNA-Val". It matches the Rfam family "tRNA". From Rfam's summary of the family: Transfer RNA (tRNA) molecules are approximately 80 nucleotides in length. Their secondary structure includes four short double-helical elements and three loops (D, anti-codon, and T loops). RNAcentral also lists the same sequence under 9 other names. The record is from RNAcentral. Lineage: Eukaryota; Fungi; Ascomycota; Sordariomycetes; Sordariales; Chaetomiaceae.